Molecule: long non-coding RNA, 3680 nt
Organism: Monodelphis domestica (gray short-tailed opossum)
Lineage: Eukaryota; Metazoa; Chordata; Mammalia; Didelphimorphia; Didelphidae
Source: RefSeq, a predicted model, not a curated record
GAGGUGGGGACACCAAAACAUCCUCCUCAGUCCAUUCACAAAUGGGAUACUGGGCAAAGGGAGCCAGUGCCCUCCCCGCCCUGCCACAGAGCCCUUUGGAGGACAGCUCUUUCUCCCUUUUGGUCUCCAGCUGACCUGGCCCCAUGAUUGGAUGCCCUCUUCUGGGAUCUGGGACCCAUGACCGCAGAUGCUUUCUACUUGUCAGGGUAAAGGGAGAUGACCACCAUCCUAUCUGCUUCACCACACUGACACCCCAUGACCUGGCUCUCAGGCCUCCCUGCGGCUUGGGUGGGGGUGGGGAGGGUACAUUGUGAUGCAGGAAUGCCACACUCAACCUUAAAGUCCCUCAAUGCAGUAAUGGAUGGUGUGUGGUCAAAGUGGAACCCUGAUGCCUUCCCAUCCCCUGUGAAUUUUCACUGGUUCAUUCCCUGUGCCUUCUCUCUUCUAGAGAUUCCCUGCCCAUUGGUGGACUCAGGCUCGCUUGCCUCCCCCUUCUCUCUGACCUUGUUUCUAUCUGGGUCUCAUCUCCUUUCUCAGCCUCAGACUUCUCCCAGGUUCUAGAAUACUUAGUUAUUGCUUCUACAGUCAACUUAAGGACUCUACUUGUAAUAAGUGAAGAAGAGAAAUGGGUUGCAACAUGCAAAGAAAGAAAUGGUUGCAUGCCAGGAAACAAAGAGUUCUGGAGCACCGAGAGGGGAUAAAAAGUGAAUCCCAGCAGUUGGGGGGGGGUGUUCUUUGACUUCCUGUCUCUGGGGCUGUUGGGAGCUGGAAUUUCCUCUCUCUCUGAAGCUACGGAGAUUUGCCUCUGUUGUUCCUGCCUGGAGAAGCCCUUCCUUGCUUUAGAAUCACAUGCUGAAAGUGCCUGUCUACUCAGAAGAGGGUGACCAGCUAGGCUGUACCAAACUGUCUGUGUGGGGAAGGCCAGAGCCAACUCCGGCCUGACCCAAUUAGGGCUCAAGUCUGCCAUAAAGGGUUCACCCUGAAGAUGCUAGAAGCCCUGUUUGAGCCUACAAAGAAAUCUGGGAGGAUUAGGGAGAGCCAGGUUAGCUAGUCAGCCCUGGGAGUGUAGACAGCCAGGUCAGGGCCCAGGGAGCAUGGAAGCCAAAGAAGAAAUCUCGGCGAGGAGAUUGGAGGAGGUGGCAGCUUAGUGAGCACUGCAUUAGAACUAGGGAAUCUAUUCCUUAAUCCUCCCCUUCAAAAGGAAUCCCUGUCCCGUUUUUACAAACCUGUCUGGGGGGUUGAACAGCGUCCUUCCUUGAGAGGUGCCGAGCUUGGUCUCUCAGCACCAUCAACCCCCUCCCUUCUCGGAUCAAUCCUUCAUAGAGGGGGAAUUUCAUCUACUCCCAGCUUUAAGAUGAAAGAAAAUGUCAUUUCUAUAACCCACAAUGUACGUGAUUAUCGUACAUCCCAACCAGAGUCUUCAAAUAGCUCCAUUACAAUAAAAAAAACUCCGAAUAACUUUUCGAAGUAUAAACAACUCCAGAUUAAGUGUCGCUUAUUUUUCCUUUGGAUUCCCAGGACUUCUUUCCAGUUUCAUCUUUAAACCAUUAUGGGAAAAUCUGACUUUCCUGGUUCCUAAGCCAAGUUUUCUGUACAGCUUCUCAUGCCAUACCUUUUCAUUGCUCUGUGAAGCAACAAUGAUUAUAUCUUAGCUCUUUUGACACUUAUGGAUCUCUUUAUGCUUUAUCAAUCUUCUCAACUCUGGGAGGGAGGUGAGAGAGAGAUGCUUUUGUCCUCUUUUUUAAAGAGAAAGAAACUGAGGCUCAGCAAGGUUGAGUGAUUUCUUCAUGAUCACACAGUUGGCAAAUAUCAGAGGCAAGAUUUGCACCCAGAUCUUCCGGAAUCUAAGUCUGGCACUCUAUUUGCUAUGCCCUGCUGCCUCUCCUAUCUUUAAACUUCCAUGCACAUCUUCCAUUCUUCUAUCAUCAUUUGAUGAUGACAUGGUUCUGCUGAUCAGAUAGUUCCUCUAUCAAAACAGAUUCGAACCUGCCAUGCCUUAAGCAAUGUUCUUGUGGUCCUCUGUAGGAUUAAGAUCCAUUAACCUUGAGCAACUUGGCGAUAAGCUUCUCUGUGCUUAAUUCCAUCGUGUUUGCAUCGUGAAUCUGACAUUUGUGGUUGAAGAUGAUCUUUCUGGGUGGCCACCAUCAACAACGCCACUUUGACAAGGUUCCCUCAGACAUUCGAAGAAGUAUCAGCUGACGUUAGCAGUGGUUUGUGAAGACAGCGACUGAGAAGAAACCUGUUCUCUAUAUGCGUGGAGAAUCCAGGGACAAGGAUCGCCCAAGAGGAGACGGAGUGGAAGGUCCAGUCGAGCCCUCAGAGUCACCAGAAUGAUUAUUCUAGACACAGUGUCCUGCGGAUAAGAUUCUCUGGGAAUAGUUUAAACAAACAUAGCUAGAAGUUCUUCAACUUUCCCUAUAGCUCCUUCCAGCGAAAGCAAGAAGCUUGACGAGUCUCUGGGUGUUCAGUAGAGUAAGCACUGUCCUUGGAAAUACGUGACUGACAAUUCCUUCUUGGGAGGCCAGAAUCUCUUCACCGGUCUCAGUAGAAAUGCGCUGUGUGAUCUCUGAGACAACUCUCCUAUAUGGAAAUAUUUGUGGCGUCCGUGAAUCAAUGAAAAUUUUAAGCAUCCCUGAGUAAGUCACAUGACUUUUGUAGUAAAAAAGUCUCCACAGUAUCCAGAAUUUUACCUACAGAAUCAGAUUGUUUUUGUAGUGGAAGAAGUAAUACCAACUGCAGGGAAAUUAAGGAAUGCACGUGGAAAAUACUGGGCUGUGAACAGCUGUGCAUGUUAAUCUGGGUAAUCACAUGUAAUACUAGUGAAGGCACGGCUUUUUUCCCUUGAUGCUAGUAAAUUCAAUGACAUCUAAAACAGGACACGGAAGUAGUGAACAUUCUGGUUAUGUGAAUUUCAAAGUAGCUACGGGUUUUUACCAGAAAAAUGUAAAUGGAAAAUCGUGGCACACAUUAGUUAUGAAAACUAUGAGUAUAUUAAAGUAAGAAAUAGAAUAGAACAUAUCAGAGUAGCAAACAUGUACACCAAAUAAGACGACACAGAAUACCAUGCGGGUACACGCUGUACGAUGAUAGUUACUAAAAAUAAUGAGAAUGUAUACUCAUACAAAGGCUCGAUCGUGAACCUUGAAUGGUCUUCAAAGUGUCUAAGAGAGCCCCAGGAUGGGGGAAAUACAUAGAGGACGCUGAUGUCCCACAAUAACUCUGCACCUGCCAGUCUUGUUGCCAGGAACCUCCUUGCUUUUCAGUGAUUCCCAGGCUCGAGCCUAAAGAGAAGGGAUGCUCCAAAGAAAACAACGAACAGGAAGAACUCUAUGGAUACAUGCUGUUGGAGCAGGAGAGGUCGCUGCAGAAUUAUUUUCGAAAUUUCAGGACAGUAGUAGUACAGAAACACAACGUCUUGGAAGAGGGGCCCAGAACGCUCUCCCUUAAAGAUGUGAAUUUAACCCUCUCGCCCACUAGCUUUAUUAUUUGUACCAUGGAUAGGCUACAUCCCCAAGUCUCCAUUCAUGAGAGAAGUCCAAUGAGCCAAAAAACGUUUCUAGGAAAAGAACAUUUCAUGUUGUUUCUCAACUCCAUACUUCAACAGAUUCGUGAUCUUAUGGAUGUUGGUAUUUUCUUCUAUAAGAUUAAUUAGAACCCAUUGAAACCUUAUUCUAUGCAAA